Long non-coding RNA from Aquila chrysaetos chrysaetos, 139 nucleotides. RefSeq lists it as uncharacterized. The record is from RefSeq and is a predicted model, not a curated record. Lineage: Eukaryota; Metazoa; Chordata; Aves; Accipitriformes; Accipitridae. The transcript has 3 exons.
AAAAGAUGGAGUGGGAGGGAGAGAGAGAGAGAAAGAAAGACAGAAGAAAAGGAUUCCACUAGUCCUGGGUCCAGCGCUGGUCCAGUCAGUCUAGAGAUCCAGUUCCAGAGGGCAUGUGCUGGGAACUUGUCCUCCCUUU